GACGUAGGUGGCAAGCGUUGUCCGGAUUUACUGGGCGUAAAGAGCGCGCAGGCGGUCGUACAAGUCGCGUGUGAAAGCCCCCGGCUCAACUGGGGAGGGUCACGCGAUACUGUUCGACUCGAAGGCAGGAGAGGGAAGCAGAAUUCCCGGUGUAGUGGUGAAAUGCGUAGAUAUCGGGAGGAAUACCAGUGGCGAAGGCGGCUUCCUGGCCUGUUCUUGACGCUGAGGCGCGAAAGCUAGGGUAGCAAACGGG
Molecule: ribosomal RNA, 253 nt
Filed under: uncultured bacterium
Lineage: Bacteria
Description: partial 16S ribosomal RNA
Rfam family: Bacterial small subunit ribosomal RNA
Source: RNAcentral